GUUCUCACCCUACUAUUUCCACAGAGCCGGGACCGAGCGAGCCGGCGAGCGACCGAGGUAAAGGUAUCGCGCCUUAGUCAGAGGCCACCAAAGUUGGGUUUCAUUUUGUAGUAAAGUACCCUAUGAUCAUCUUUUGGUACAUGAUGAUAAAUGAUGUAAAGAAAAGAAUGUAAUGUGUAUUUUGAGGUAAAUGUGAUGUAAGAAAGACAUGAUGAAAUGAUGUAAUGAAUGUAAGAAAUCGAUAAAUUACAAGUUGGAUGUAAUGUAUAUGAUCUAAACUGAAUCAUAGUACAGAAUGAAUGCUAGUUUC
Molecule: long non-coding RNA, 310 nt
Filed under: Ananas comosus (pineapple)
Lineage: Eukaryota; Viridiplantae; Streptophyta; Magnoliopsida; Poales; Bromeliaceae
Description: long non-coding RNA (ACOM_LNC038930)
Source: RNAcentral